RNAcentral lists this ribosomal RNA (249 nucleotides) under uncultured bacterium. RNAcentral describes it as "partial 16S ribosomal RNA". It matches the Rfam family "Bacterial small subunit ribosomal RNA", at positions 355 to 616 of the family's 1533-position model. The record is from RNAcentral.
UGGGGAAUAUUGGACAAUGGGCGGAAGCCUGAUCCAGCAACGCCGCGUGAGGGAUGACGGCCUUCGGGUUGUAAACCUCUUUCAGCACAGACGAAGCGCAAGUGACGGUAUGUGCAGAAGAAGGACCGGCCAACUACGUGCCAGCAGCCGCGGGAAUACGUAGGGUCAGAGCGUUGUCCGGAAUUAUUGGGCGCAACGGGCUCGUAGGCGGUCUGUCGCGUCGGGAGGGAAAAACAGGUGCUUAACACC